CGUUAUGUUACCGUUAUGUUCCUGUUCUGUUCCUGCUCUGUUCCUGCUCUGUUCCUGUUCUGUUCCUGUUCUGUUCCUGCUCUGUUACCGUUCUGUUCCUGUUCUGUUCCUGCUCUGUUACCGUUCUGUUAUCGUUCUGUUACCGUUCUGUUACCGUUCUGUCAGGAAUCCUCUAUCUAAUAACUGUUUUCAGAUUUCUCUAAAACAUGUUCCUGUUCUGUUCCUGUUCUGAUACCGUUCUGUUCCCAUUCUGUCAGGAAUCCUCUCUCUCUAAUAACAACUCAUUUAUUUUCUAACACAAUGUUGUGAGCAGAGAUGCAGUUUUCACAAAUUGGUAGCGGAUUGCUGUUUUAAUUUUUUUUUUUUUUUUUUUAAAUGGUUCUAAAAUCUGAGGAUAUUUUCGUAUCUUGAUCUGAUGUUUACAGAACGUGAUGUAAUGCCGUGCAGUCAGUGACUGUCAGGACAUGUAUAGUACCAGAGGAGGGAUAUGGUAUGUCUCUGAGUUGGUCUCUUUAGGUGUCCUUUUAUGUGUGUUCAGUAACGCUGUUGGUUCCGUUUGUCCGUGUUAGACGGUCUUGUUGUUGCCUGUAGUGGGAGAUUUGAAAGGUUAGUUGUAUAGGGAGUCCUCUAGCCUGUUGGCAGUGUAUUUAGCUGUAGAGGAUAUUCCACAAGUGUCCCCGGGUGUUUUAGACAAGGCCUUUCUUCAUUGUCAUCAUCAUCAUCAUCAGAAAUGUUAACAGUAGAAAGCUUCCUAUUUGUAAUGGACUGGUUUCUAAAAUCAAACCAUUUUUUAAUUGGCUGAAUUAUUAAUGAUCCUGAAAUGAGGCCCUCUUCCCCUCUGUCGUCUGCUCAUAUCAGCCAGCGCCGUCAUUAUUGAUUAUUGGAACCGGCGAUUCACCGAUCAAGAAUCUCUCUCCCGUGUCCUCCUGCGUUGUUUCAGGGAAUUCCACAAACGGUCCUUCGUUCAUAUUUCAGUGUGUCGUGUACCAGCUGCUUUCUAAACGGUAGUGUCCAUGUUUUAGGCAGUGGACUAACAGUCAGUGGUCGUAUCUGACUGUAUCUAACAGAUGGAAAUUGUCAUUUUGAAAGUAUCGAAAAAAGGGGUUUCUGAAAUACAAAACGUGAACUCGUAAAAGAACCACUGUUGCCACGAGGACGUGGAUUUAUAACAUAUGAAAUUGAUCUUGGGGGUUUAACGUGGGGGCGUAUUUCCUGUUCUCACUGCGCUACGCCUUUCCUUCUCUGAUGCGUCGUGUCUAACUCUGAGCCACCUAAUUAACGUACUGUACUCCCUCCGUGGUGUCUGUCCAAUGAAAUGAGCAGUAGAUUGCCAGCGGGUUGGGCUGUGUUCACGUGACUACCGUUGUGAUUUAGGAGAACGUAGACAGACUUCAUACUAGGAACGUUAGAAUCUCCUGAUUUUGAUUUUAAAAAAAUUAAUCAUUGUAAAAAAAAGGGGGUUUUGGGGCGAGGGGUGUGUAUCAUCAUCGUCGUGUUUUAAAGUGAUAUACGAGACGUUUUAACGUGAUAUAAAAGAGACCGUUGUUGACGUGUUCUGACAACUCUCCUCGUGGUUUUGUCUUGAACUUUAAGCUUUUGGACGUGGAAAUUUUUCCUUAACAUUUUAAAAGUACCAUUUAAAAACCAAGAUUUGUAAACAUUUUUUAAAUAAAUUAAAAAUAAAAAUAAAAAUUGAUGUUAAAAAAAGGGGUCAGAAUGUGGUCCCGGUUUGCUGCCUCCUGCUCUGCUGAGCAGCGUCUCUGUACAGUCAUCUCUUAUCAUCAUAACAUGGUGUCAGGAGUGAACCAACCUCAUCAAAUAAUAACAACCGAGUUCAUCUGAUAUAAGACCGGAAAAACAUUGUUAGACUCGACACGAGAGAAUAUCUGACAGAAAAUAAUACUAUUACGUGAGUUUGGUCGAGUUUUUUUUUUUUUUUUUUUUGUGAAGGAAAAAGAGGCUGAAAGCUCUGUCUCUCUCUCAUCAUCCGAGCGGAGCCGUUGCUAUGGAACAGGCAGAGAGCACAUGGAGCAGAAGCAGGACAAUGUAGGGCCCCAGAGGUGCGCAGGGCCCCAGAGGUGCGCAGGGCCCCAGAGGUGCGCAGCUAACAGAGAAAGUUAUUUCUGAUUUUGGGUUAGGACAGAUGCUAAAUUAAAUAAUUUUUUUAUUUAUUUUUUGGUUAGGUUUUUUUUUUAAAUUCACAAUCCCAAUGUUUUGUUUUAACUUUCUCAACUCUACUUCGCUAGUUCAUUAAUCGUUUCAUCCUCUACCUAUCAUUUGGACAUGUUAAACAACUUGACUGCCCUGUCUCUGACUGGUCAUAUUAUCUCUGUCCUGUCUCUGACUGGUCAUAUUGUCUCUGUCCUGUCUCUGACUGGUCAUAUUGUCUCUGACUGGUCAUAUUGUCUCUGUCCUGUCUCUGAUUGGUCAUAUUGUCUCUGACUGGUCAUAUUGUCACUGACUGGUCAUAUUGUCUCUGUCCUGUCUCUGACUGGUCAUAUUGUCUCUGACUGGUCAUAUUGUCUCUGUCCUGUCUCUGACUGGUCAUAUUGUCUCUGACUGGUCAUAUUGUCUCUGACUGGUCAUAUUGUCUCUGACUGGUCAUAUUGUCUCUGUCCUGUCUCUGACAGGUCAUAUUGUCUCUGACUGGUCAUAUUGUCUCUGUCCUGUCUCUGACUGGUCAUAUUGUCUCUGACUGGUCAUAUUGUCUCUGACUGGUCAUAUUGUCUCUGCCUGGUCAUAUUGUCUCUGUCCUGUCUCUGACUGGUCAUAUUGUCUCUGACUGGUCAUAUUGUCUCUGCCCUGUCUCUGACUGGUCAUAUUGUCUCUGACUGGUCAUAUUGUCUCUGUCCUGUCUCUGACUGGUCAUAUUGUCUCUGACUGGUCAUAUUGUCUCUGACUGGUCAUAUUGUCACUGUCCUGUCUCUGACUGAUCAUAUUAUCUCUGACUGGUCAUAUUGUCUCUGUCCUGUCUCUGACUGGUCAUAUUGUCUCUGACUGGUCAUAUUGUCUCUGACUGGUCAUAUUGUCACUGUCCUGUCUCUGACUGAUCAUAUUAUCUCUGACUGGUCAUAUUGUCUCUGUCCUGUCUCUGACUGGUCAUAUUGUCUCUGACUGGUCAUAUUGUCUCUGACUGGUCAUAUUUUCACUGUCCUGUCUCUGACUGAACAUAUUAUCUCUGACUGGUCAUAUUGUCUCUGUCCUGUCUCUGACUGGUCAUAUUGUCUCUGUCCUGUCUCUGACUGGUCAUAUUGUCUCUGACUGGUCAUAUUGUCUCUGACUGGUCAUAUUGUCUCUGUCCUGUCUCUGACUGGUCAUAUUGUCUCUGUCCUGUCUCUGACUGGUCAUAUUGUCUCUGUCCUGUCUCUGACUGGUCAUAUUAUCUCUGACUGGUCAUAUUGUCUCUGUCCUGUCUCUGCCUGGUCAUAUUGUCUCUGUCCUGUCUCUGCCUGGUCAUAUUGUCUCCGUCCUGUCUCUGCUUGGUCAUAUUGUCUCUGCCUAGUCAUAUUGUCUCUGACUGGUCAUAUUGUCUCUGACUGGUCAUAUUGUCUCUGACACUACCAGACACAACAGCCUCUAGUGAGGUUGGGGAGCUGGGGCUGCUAGGAAGUCUCUCUCUCUAAAUGGUAGAGUAGUGGGAGAAGUCCUCUCUCUCUCUCUCUCUCUCUCUCUGGUUGUAUUAAAUGAGAGAGGAUAACCUGUCUAACCUUUUAUAAAGCUAGUAGGCUGAUUUGAUAUGAAACACUUUUCCCCAAAAGCCUUUUUGAAGCGAUGUCAUGUUCAUCAUGCACCAAAAUGGACAGAAACAGGGAGUACUAUUUGCCUUUUUGUGUUGCACAAUGUUUUUGAAACGUAUGUGCCCUAAUGAACACGACCCAGGUGUGGACAGACAGGCAGCAAGUCAACAAGGAUGUUAUGAACGUGUUAAAGGGGCAGUGUAAAACCAGUGUGAGGAAGAGACGGUUUAGGGGCUGUAGUAGUGUAGAUCCUGGAUUCUGUUGUCUUUUUUAAUUAAAGUUUU
Molecule: long non-coding RNA, 4021 nt
Organism: Oncorhynchus mykiss (rainbow trout)
Lineage: Eukaryota; Metazoa; Chordata; Actinopteri; Salmoniformes; Salmonidae
Source: RefSeq, a predicted model, not a curated record